CACUUCCACAAUUGGAUUUUGCAUGAAACUAUGCAUCGGCAAGUUGUCUUUGGCUACAUCUCUAUCUCCAAUUCACAUGUUAGAUCUAUGAUGAUGGUGAUGAUAAACGGUGGAAAUUAUGAAGAACAUUUCAGAACAUGUCAUUUUGAUAGAACUUAAUUUUUGCAGCAGAAUGUUUUUCUCGAUUGAAUUGGACAACGCUUAAAACAAUUUCGUCAGAUAAUCCUAAGCAUCAUAAUUGCUUAUAAAACGGGAGAAACCAGAGCUUUGAAUUGCAAUUUUAGGU
Morus notabilis is the source of this 286-nucleotide long non-coding RNA. RefSeq lists it as uncharacterized. Lineage: Eukaryota; Viridiplantae; Streptophyta; Magnoliopsida; Rosales; Moraceae. The record is from RefSeq and is a predicted model, not a curated record. The transcript is spliced from 3 exons.